GGAUGUAAGGGCGAUCUGGCUGCGACAUCUGUCACCCCAUUGAUCGCCAGGGUUGAUUCGGCUGAUCUGGCUGGCUAGUCGGGUGUCCCCUUCCUCCCUCACUGCUCCAUGUGCAUCCCUCCCGAAGUUGCGAGCUUGGUCGAAGAGGACGGCCUUCCCCGAAUAGAGACAGGCUGGUCUUCUGUCAGUUGAGAGUGUACGAGUAGCUGCGCUCCCCUGCUAGAACCUCCAAACAUGCUCAAUUGCUUUCCUGGUUUUUCCUGCUUUUUCUUUUUUAAAUUACUUUAUUAACAUAGAGUUAUAUUGUUUUCUUU
This 314-nucleotide small nuclear RNA is filed under the name Erinaceus europaeus (western European hedgehog). RNAcentral describes it as "7SK RNA". It matches the Rfam family "7SK RNA". From Rfam's summary of the family: 7SK was discovered as an abundant small nuclear RNA in the mid-70s but a possible function has only recently been suggested. Two independent studies have found that 7SK RNA binds the CDK9/cyclin T complex (known as elongation factor P-TEFb). P-TEFb activates transcription by phosphorylating the C-terminal domain of RNA polymerase II. The record is from Rfam by way of RNAcentral. Lineage: Eukaryota; Metazoa; Chordata; Mammalia; Eulipotyphla; Erinaceidae.